UACGUAGGGUGCGAGCGUUUGUCCGGAAUUACUGGGCGUAAAGAGCUCGUAGGUGGUUUGUCGCGUUGUUCGUGAAAACCGGGGGCUUAACCCUCGGCGUGCGGGCGAUACGGGCAGACUUGAGUACUGCAGGGGAGACUGGAAUUCCUGGUGUAGCGGUGGAAUGCGCAGAUAUCAGGAGGAACACCAAUGGCGAAGGCAGAUCUCUGGGCCGUAACUGACGCUGAGGAGCGAAAGCAUGGGGAGCGAACAGG
This 254-nucleotide ribosomal RNA is filed under the name uncultured bacterium. RNAcentral's name for it is "partial 16S ribosomal RNA". It matches the Rfam family "Bacterial small subunit ribosomal RNA", at positions 524 to 776 of the family's 1533-position model. The record is from RNAcentral.